Molecule: ribosomal RNA, 259 nt
Filed under: uncultured bacterium
Lineage: Bacteria
Description: partial 16S ribosomal RNA
Rfam family: Bacterial small subunit ribosomal RNA
Source: RNAcentral
AGAGUUUGAUCCUGGCUCAGGAUGAACGCUAGCGACAGGCUUAACACAUGCAAGUCGAGGGGCAGCGGGGAGUAGCAAUACUUCGCCGGCGACCGGCGCACGGGUGAGUAACACGUGUGCAACCAACCCCGUACCGGGAGAUAACCCGCGGAAACGUGGACUAACAUCCCAUAAUACUGGAGGAUCGCAUGAUCUUUCAUUUAAAAUUCCGGUGGUACGGGACGGGCACGCGCGACAUUAGGUAGUUGGCGGGUAAGGG